Sebastes umbrosus (honeycomb rockfish) is the source of this 268-nucleotide long non-coding RNA. RefSeq lists it as uncharacterized. Lineage: Eukaryota; Metazoa; Chordata; Actinopteri; Perciformes; Sebastidae. The transcript is spliced from 3 exons. The record is from RefSeq and is a predicted model, not a curated record.
GUUAGGGUUAGGUUUGGGUUAUGGUUGGGGUUGAUAGAUCCGGUGGAGGUUUGUUUGCACUGGCCUAAAGAUCUGUAUGUAAGUGUGUGUGGCUGUAUGAUGCUUUAUGUGUGAGCUGGUUCCUGUUCCUGUCGGGAUGGAUGGGUGAGGUGGCCGGAGCAGCUCUCCGCCCCGGGAGGCCCGGGUUCGACUCCCAGACGAGGCGGAGGACCAGGAUGUGGUUAGGGUUAGGGUUGGGGUUAGGGUUAGGUUUAGGGUUAGGGUUAGG